CCUGACUCAUUGGAAACUAAUUUGUGUGAAAAUGAUUCAUCAAAUGCUGAACUGAAAACACUCUUUCCUGCUUGUUUCUAGAUAUUUGAAAAAGGUUUUAAAAACAUUUCUAGACCCUUUUGUGAUCCACUUGCUACGUGAAUGGAAGCUUGAAAGAAUUGCUGCUAUGACCACCCAAGCUUCUUUCAAAUUUCUGAGGACCAGCCUUCCUGUGUAAUUCGGUGUUUGAUAUUCAGAUUGUUCUAUUCCUACAAGACAACACUUUGAUCGCUUUCAGAAAAACUGCAUACUAUGGAGACUGAAGAGUGAACUGCCCUUAUGUUAAGUGAGGGAGAACUUCUGUUUGUCUCCAACCCAGGUACACUUUGAUAAGGACCUAGUUCCACUUUAAAUUAAGUAGUAAGA
Long non-coding RNA from Herpailurus yagouaroundi (jaguarundi), 405 nucleotides. RefSeq lists it as uncharacterized. The record is from RefSeq and is a predicted model, not a curated record. The transcript is spliced from 3 exons. NCBI's taxonomy places the organism in Eukaryota, Metazoa, Chordata, Mammalia, Carnivora, Felidae.